Molecule: ribosomal RNA, 537 nt
Filed under: Rhodotorula mucilaginosa
Lineage: Eukaryota; Fungi; Basidiomycota; Microbotryomycetes; Sporidiobolales; Sporidiobolaceae
Description: eukaryotic LSU rRNA
Rfam family: Eukaryotic large subunit ribosomal RNA
Source: RNAcentral
AAACUAACAAGGAUUCCCCUAGUAGCGGCGAGCGAAGCGGGAAGAGCUCAAAUUUAUAAUCUGGCACCUUCGGUGUCCGAGUUGUAAUCUCUAGAAAUGUUUUCCGCGUUGGACCGCACACAAGUCUGUUGGAAUACAGCGGCAUAGUGGUGAGACCCCCGUAUAUGGUGCGGACGCCCAGCGCUUUGUGAUACAUUUUCGAAGAGUCGAGUUGUUUGGGAAUGCAGCUCAAAUUGGGUGGUAAAUUCCAUCUAAAGCUAAAUAUUGGCGAGAGACCGAUAGCGAACAAGUACCGUGAGGGAAAGAUGAAAAGCACUUUGGAAAGAGAGUUAACAGUACGUGAAAUUGUUGGAAGGGAAACGCUUGAAGUCAGACUUGCUUGCCGAGCAAUCGGUUUGCAGGCCAGCAUCAGUUUUCCGGGAUGGAUAAUGGUAGAGAGAAGGUAGCAGUUUCGGCUGUGUUAUAGCUCUCUGCUGGAUACAUCUUGGGGGACUGAGGAACGCAGUGUGCCUUUGGCGGGGGUUUCGACCUCUCACA